RNAcentral lists this ribosomal RNA (292 nucleotides) under uncultured archaeon. RNAcentral describes it as "partial 16S rRNA". It matches the Rfam family "Archaeal small subunit ribosomal RNA", at positions 339 to 631 of the family's 1478-position model. The record is from RNAcentral.
GCGCGAAAACUCUACAAUGCAGGCAACUGCGAUAGGGGGACAUCGAGUGGCAUCCACCUUGGGUGCCUGUCCAACCGUCUAAAAAACGGUUGUUAGCAAGGGCCGGGUAAGACCGGUGCCAGCCGCCGCGGUAAUACCGGCGGCUCGAGUGGUGGCCGAUAUUAUUGAGUCUAAAGGGUCCGUAGCCGGCUUUGCAAGUCCCCUGGGAAAUCCAGCGGCUUAACCGUUGGGCUUUCAUGGGAUACUACAUUGCUUGGGACUGGGAGAGGUAGGAGGUACUCGGGGGGUAGGG